This 305-nucleotide ribosomal RNA is filed under the name uncultured bacterium. Its description in RNAcentral is "bacterial SSU rRNA". It matches the Rfam family "Bacterial small subunit ribosomal RNA", at positions 334 to 637 of the family's 1533-position model. The record is from RNAcentral.
UCGUCCUACGGGGGCAGCAGUGAGGAAUAUUGGUCAAUGGUCGGGAGACUGAACCAGCCAAGCCGCGUGAGGGAGGAAGGGACAGAGUAUCGUAAACCUCUUUUGUCAGGGAACAAAGACUGGGACGCGUCCCCGGAUGAGUGUACCUGAAGAAAAAGCAUCGGCUAACUCCGUGCCAGCAGCCGCGGUAAUACGGAGGAUGCGAGCGUUAUCCGGAUUUAUUGGGUGUAAAGGGAGCGUAGACGGAGGAGCAAGUCUGAUGUGAAGAUCCGGGGCCCAACCCCGGAACUGCAUUGGAAACUGUU